GACAGAGGGUGCAAACGUUGUUCGGAAUUACUGGGCGUAAAGCGCGUGUAGGCGGCUCGGAAAGUCGGGUGUGAAAGCCCUGGGCUCAACCUAGGAAGUGCACUCGAAACUUCCGAGCUGGAGUUCUGGAGAGGAAGGCGGAAUUCCUGGUGUAGAGGUGAAAUUCGUAGAUAUCAGGAGGAACACCGGUGGCGAAGGCGGCUACCUGGACGGUUACUGACGCUGAGACGCGAAAGCGUGGGGAGCAAACAGG
RNAcentral lists this ribosomal RNA (253 nucleotides) under uncultured bacterium. Its description in RNAcentral is "partial 16S ribosomal RNA". It matches the Rfam family "Bacterial small subunit ribosomal RNA", at positions 524 to 776 of the family's 1533-position model. The record is from RNAcentral.